Long non-coding RNA from Carassius auratus (goldfish), 343 nucleotides. RefSeq lists it as uncharacterized. The transcript is spliced from 2 exons. Lineage: Eukaryota; Metazoa; Chordata; Actinopteri; Cypriniformes; Cyprinidae. The record is from RefSeq and is a predicted model, not a curated record.
UUAUUUCAACAAUAAAUAUGAAUAUUAAUCUUAAAAAAGUCACUAUGGACGGAAGUAGAGGAGGCAUACAAAACAAAAGGAAACCGAGGCUUACCUAAGGCAGGUAGGCUAGCUUAAUGAGUAUGUGGCUACUAUAUUGCCAGAAGCAUAACACCAAGUGCACAAUUCGCAUCACACACACACACACACACACACACACACACACGGUAAGGUCAAGCGUGAACACACUGCACUCUUUGACAGAGUCCCACCACCGCACACAAGGGCCAACUAGCAGUCUGCCUGAAGCCUCGGUUCCUAUAACAAAAGACACAGUUAAUCAAAUUUAAUUCUCAAAGAAAAA